CGCUUUAGCUCAGUCGGUAGAGCGUCUCACUCGUAAUGAGAAGGUCGCGAGUUCGAUUCUCGCAAGCG
RNAcentral lists this transfer RNA (68 nucleotides) under Corynebacterium glutamicum. It matches the Rfam family "tRNA". Rfam says of the family: Transfer RNA (tRNA) molecules are approximately 80 nucleotides in length. Their secondary structure includes four short double-helical elements and three loops (D, anti-codon, and T loops). Lineage: Bacteria; Bacillati; Actinomycetota; Actinomycetes; Mycobacteriales; Corynebacteriaceae. The record is from RNAcentral. RNAcentral also lists the same sequence under 3 other names.